GCAGUGGUAGCUCAGCGAUUAAGACAUCGGACUAUUAAUCAGAAGGUUGUGAGUUCAAAUCCCAGCUGCACCA
Pangasianodon gigas (Mekong giant catfish) is the source of this 73-nucleotide non-coding RNA. The record is from the annotation of a GenBank genome assembly. Lineage: Eukaryota; Metazoa; Chordata; Actinopteri; Siluriformes; Pangasiidae.